RNAcentral lists this ribosomal RNA (253 nucleotides) under uncultured bacterium. RNAcentral describes it as "partial 16S ribosomal RNA". It matches the Rfam family "Bacterial small subunit ribosomal RNA", at positions 524 to 776 of the family's 1533-position model. The record is from RNAcentral.
UACGUAGGUGGCAAGCGUUGUCCGGAUUUACUGGGUGUAAAGGGCGUGCAGCCGGAGAGACAAGUCAGAUGUGAAAUCCACGGGCUCAACCCGUGAACUGCAUUUGAAACUGUUUCCCUUGAGUGUCGGAAAGGUAAUCGGAAUUCCUUGUGUAGCGGUGAAAUGCGUAGAUAUAAGGAAGGACACCAGUGGCGAAGGCGGAUUACUGGACGAUAACUGACGGUGAGGCGCGAAAGCGUGGGGAGCAAACAGG